Molecule: long non-coding RNA, 493 nt
Organism: Cotesia glomerata
Lineage: Eukaryota; Metazoa; Arthropoda; Insecta; Hymenoptera; Braconidae
Exons: 4
Source: RefSeq, a predicted model, not a curated record
GCUUCCCUAAAGUAUCUAAAAAUUUUGAUCAAAUAUAAAAAUUUAUUGUAUCAAGUAUUUAUGAUAAUUUGAAUCAAGAAAAAAUGACUUCCACCAAAAAUAGAAUUUCAAGAUAAAUUUUUACUCCGGCCAACAAAACUUCGGUCUUUCUUCAAGCAUUCAACAAUUUUUUUGAGCCAAGAAUUUUGUUCCCCUGCCAAUAAAUUUUUCUUUCUAUGCGCUAUUUAAAAACUUAGAUCGCUUGAAAAACUUCUUAUUGUAAAGCAAAAAUCCUAAUUAGAGCAACUAGGGUAAAUGCAUCAGUUGUUGACCGGUUACCACACUGUAAAUCGAAGGGUUUUAAAAGUGACUACAAAUGGGCAUUUAACAUGGGAAAUUAAAACACAUGGAAGUGUUUAAAAGUGACUACAAUGCUUCAAGAUAGGAACAAAACACUUUAUAGGUGUUUUGUUAAAACACUUGGAUUUACAAUGAAGAAUUUAAGCUGUAUUCA